Caenorhabditis elegans is the source of this 449-nucleotide long non-coding RNA. Ensembl annotates it as ncRNA. Its record names the gene linc-85. NCBI's taxonomy places the organism in Eukaryota, Metazoa, Nematoda, Chromadorea, Rhabditida, Rhabditidae. The record is from Ensembl.
CUCCGCCUCCACCAGUCCGGAGAACACGUACCGCGUCGGCCCCGGUUCAGGCUCUUGUUCGUCCAAAACGAAAUGCGUCAUCUACGACACCAGUUGCAACGUCAUCGGCUGGAAUUUCGCAAGGAGGCCUGAGUUCCCCAACUGCUCCAAUGAUGAAUGUCCCUGCAAGCAGCGCAAUGACAUCUUCAUCGAAUUGCUCGACCGUUGUUCCGCUCUCUUCUGCCAGUUCUAACUCUUCUACGUCUGGUCAUCGUGCCCACGAUUGCGUGCCACGCGCAGUUUUCGAUGCUCUUCUCGCGGAAAACGCAGGCUUGAAAUCGCAACUUCUGGAAAUCAAGAAGAUUCUCAACUAAUUCAUUAGAUUAUCGUAUGUACCCUUUCUAUAAAGUCAAUAGAGAGAGUAUUGAAAAUGUCCUGUCAUCUUUUUUUCAAAUGAAUUCUCAUCCAUC